AUUUUUGCAAUUAACCACAAUUUGAAUACGUAAUAGGAUACUGAAUGACAUAAGGCUGCAUAUGUAAACUACUAAUCUGGAGGUGAAUAAUAGUAAGGAUAUGAUCCUGCAAGACCAUGGUGUAUUCGGUGCAAAAUAUGCAUAUAGUGCAGCAACAUAAUUAACUUGAGGUUCAAAAGGGUAUGGUUGUUUUUGAUGUUUAGGCGAAGAUUUCAGUCCCUAACCUUUAUUUGACCCCAACUCCGUUGUUUCUGGUCAGCUCCUUUCUCCUUGAACUUGGCCAAAAGUUCUUCAAGGCUCGGCCUCACUUUUCUCCCCAAAGUGGAUUUAGCUUCAGGGCUCCUGGAUGAACUGGUCGGACCAGUUUUGAAAUCGGUCAAGCCGGUUUUCACAGAACCGGCAUUCUUGCUUACAUCUUGCCCCC
This 424-nucleotide long non-coding RNA is filed under the name Setaria viridis. RNAcentral's name for it is "long non-coding RNA (SVIR_LNC010418)". Lineage: Eukaryota; Viridiplantae; Streptophyta; Magnoliopsida; Poales; Poaceae. The record is from RNAcentral.